Long non-coding RNA from Phacochoerus africanus (Common warthog), 524 nucleotides. RefSeq lists it as uncharacterized. The transcript is spliced from 3 exons. The record is from RefSeq and is a predicted model, not a curated record. NCBI's taxonomy places the organism in Eukaryota, Metazoa, Chordata, Mammalia, Artiodactyla, Suidae.
UCCUGCAUUCUUUCGUCAAUGGAGGCUCCUCCACGGCAUCGAAUCCUUUCUCAAGCAUCUAUGGUGUCGAGGGUCCCAAGAAAUAACAGGAUGAAAUGUGGAAACAUGCUGAGAUUUGUAAAGGUUACGAAGGAGAGAAUAUGGCCUUAGGAAAGAUGCUUGCAGCAACAAAAAUACAACCAACACAAUGGAUCUGAAUCUCUUUAACACUAAGGCCAGCGUGAUGAACUCUGUUCCAUGUCAUGAUUACUAUAAGAGGUCAGGAAUUUUUAGGUGAUAAAAAUAUGUCCUAUAGUAGUUUGUCCAAAGACAGUGAUAGUAAUAAAUCCUCUUGUAGAACUUGGGCUUAGUUCUCCUACUGUUUUGUUUUCAGUCUGUAAGGAGGCGGAGAUGGUCCUCUACCAACUUCCUUGAUACUCUCCGUGGAUCAGGACAGUGCCUAGAGACAAGUUUAUGAGUUGGCUCUGACCCAGUGGACUGGUUGUUGGGAUAGGUAGCUCCCCCUUCUUCCUUUCCCCAUGUGC